This is a long non-coding RNA of Helianthus annuus (common sunflower), 1159 nucleotides long. RefSeq lists it as uncharacterized. NCBI's taxonomy places the organism in Eukaryota, Viridiplantae, Streptophyta, Magnoliopsida, Asterales, Asteraceae. The record is from RefSeq and is a predicted model, not a curated record. The transcript is spliced from 2 exons.
AUCAACCACUACAGGUAUGUUCUUGAUCUUCAAAUUAACUCCAUGUGUAAGAGUAUGGUGACAGUCGUGGUGGUGGUAGCCUUAAGAGUAACGAAUCUGUAUGUUCUUUGACUCUAUCCUUUUUUUGGUAUGAAAACCCUAACUCGCAUCUUUGAACAAUCGAUGCCAAACCCUCAAGGUAAGUUUGAAAUUAAGUAAUCUACGCCACUGCAUGUGAUUUUCAUUUGAUUUUCAAUGUUCAACGCGGAUUUUAUUCGACACCACGAUGUUUGAUUUACUAACAUUCAUCUACUAUCUGUGUUUGUUCAUGGAUUUGGGGUUUUUGAUGAUUCUCGACUGUUACAACUUGCGUUUCUGUUGAUUAUCUUCUUGGAUUGGUUGAAGUCCAAGCAGCUUCCUUUUGUGUGGGCGUUUGAAGACGUCUUAUGAGGGUUCCGGUUGGAUCAUGGCUGGGAGUUUGAAGAUGGAUGAUGUUGUUGCUGCAUGGAAGAUGGCUGAUAGGGUUUGAAGAUGGAUAAAAUUAAAUUGUCAUUUUACAGAAACAGUUCGGGUCGAACAUACAUCUGGUGGGUGGAGAUGGAUGGAUUCCUGCUUAUUUUACUGUUCGCGUCGAAACGGACAAACGAUACUGGAUGAAAUGGUACGCGUCGAAACGUUACGGGUCGAAACGGCUCGCGUCGAACCUGUCUCGGUCCGAAACUUAAUUAUUUUGUCGGAUUAUUCCUUCAUGUGGUGGUGGUGUUUUUGCUGAUGCUGCUGCAAAGUUUCGAUAUCGUGAUGCGUUUUGAUGCUAUUGGAUGUACUUAUAACUACGUUUGUUAUGUUGAGGAAGAAGGUAGUAGGAAUGUUAGUUUAAAGUUAAAAAAUGGGAUCUGGAAUGCGAGUGAAGGAUUAUUCCUAACCGUGGUCUUUAAAGCAGAAAUCAGAAUAAUGAAUCAUAAACUAAAGUUCGAGUUAUGUCAGGAACCUACUACAUCUUACAGAAGAGACUGAUUAUCCAAGUUUGACAAAAACGGUGGACAUGAUAGAAUAAGGCCAUUGAAUAUGACAAUUUCAUCGAGUAUUUAUUUCUUUUUUGAGUUUUAUUUUUUUUAAUAUUGUCAUAUCUAAUGAUGUUUAGGUUUUAUAAUGAUGAUUUCAGGUGCUGCUUGAUCGUUAA